UGUGGUUGGAAGAUGCCUGUGUUGUUGCUGCUGUGCUAACUGAGGGGAUCGCUUGCGCUUGGUGCCUGUCGGAGUUUGUUGUUGUAGCUUAGUGUGCUCACUGAACCCUUGCUGCCUAUGCCGGUGAUGCCGUGGCGGAGGUGAUCGGGUUGGUUGUGCAGAUAUUGAUGGCUGCUGCUGAAUGAUCCCCGGCUGCCCUUGUCGUUGUUGCCCUGGCUGAGGGAAACUCAUUGGCAGACUUUGUUGUUGUUUUUGUCGUGGUUUGCGGAGCUGCUCUGCUGAAACUAGUUGCUGCUGUUCAAUGAUCUCUUGCUGCCUUUGUCGUUGAUAGCGUGGCGGAAGAGAUUUAAUUGGUUGUGCAGGGAUGAUUCGCUGUUUCGUUGUUGAUGAGGCUUCUGCCUGGCUCUGCUGCUGCCGCUCCAUACUCCGCAACUGUGCAAAACUUCGUACAGUUGUUCGCUUAGUAAUCACUUGCUGCCUUUGUUUUUGACGUCGUGGCAGGGGCGACCGAAUUGGAUUUGCAGAAUUAACUAGCUGCAUUUUUGCUGGUGGGCCUUCUGCCUGGCUCUGUUGCUGUUGCUCAGUGUUCCUCGGCUGCCUUUGUCGUUUGUGUCUUGGCAGAGAGAAACUCAUUCGCUGGCUUUGUUGUUGCUGUUGGCAUAAAUGGAGGAGCCCCUCUGCCAAUUGCUGCUGUUUAAUGAUAUCUUGCUGCCUUUGUCGUUGGUGCCAUGGCGGAAGAGAUUGAACAGAAAUAACUCGCUGUGACGUUGAUGGUGGGCCAUCCGCCCGGAUCUGCUGCUGCUGCUCAGUGUUCCCCGGGUGCUCUUGUCGUUGUUGUCCUGGCUGAGGGAAACUCAUUGGCUGGCUUUGAUGUUGCUGUUGCCAUGGCUGGAGGAGCUGCUCUUGCAGCUUUUGCCGUUGAUGCCGUGGCAAAGGCGAUUGAAUUGGUAGCGCAGAAUUAGCUCGCUGCGCUGUUGUUGAUGAGGCUUCCGCCCGGCUCUGCUGCUGUUUAAUAUUCUCCGGCUGCCCUUGUCUUUGUUGUCCUGGUGAGUCGAAGGCGGCUCUGCAGG
Long non-coding RNA from Drosophila novamexicana, 1070 nucleotides. RefSeq lists it as uncharacterized. The record is from RefSeq and is a predicted model, not a curated record. The transcript has 7 exons. Lineage: Eukaryota; Metazoa; Arthropoda; Insecta; Diptera; Drosophilidae.